UACGGGGGGAGCAAGCGUUGUUCGGAUUUACUGGGCGUAAAGGGCGCGUAGGCGGUCGUGACAAGUCACUUGUGAAAUCUCCGGGCUUAACUCGGAACGGUCAAGUGAUACUGUCGGACUAGAGUACAGAAGGGGCAACUGGAAUUCUCGGUGUAGCGGUGAAAUGCGUAGAUAUCGAGAGGAACACCUGCGGCGAAGGCGGGUUGCUGGGCUGAUACCGACGCUGAGGCGCGAAAGCCAGGGGAGCGAACGGG
This 254-nucleotide ribosomal RNA is filed under the name uncultured bacterium. RNAcentral describes it as "partial 16S ribosomal RNA". It matches the Rfam family "Bacterial small subunit ribosomal RNA", at positions 524 to 776 of the family's 1533-position model. The record is from RNAcentral.